GUACUACUCCCUUCGUCCGGAAAUACUUGUCAUCAAAAUGGAUAAAAGAAGAUGUAUCUAGACGUAUUUUAGUUCUAGAUACAUUCAUUUUUAUCCAUUUUGAUGACACGUAUUUUCGGACGGAGGGAGUACAAU
This is a non-coding RNA of Triticum aestivum (bread wheat), 135 nucleotides long. Lineage: Eukaryota; Viridiplantae; Streptophyta; Magnoliopsida; Poales; Poaceae. The record is from Rfam.